RNAcentral lists this long non-coding RNA (609 nucleotides) under Anser cygnoides (Swan goose). RNAcentral's name for it is "lncRNA (ENSACDG00005004469.1)". The record is from RNAcentral. Lineage: Eukaryota; Metazoa; Chordata; Aves; Anseriformes; Anatidae.
AUGGCCUCGUGUCCUCAUGACCUGCGUCUUCUGUCACUGGGAAGGGAACUCCUGAUAUUUUGGAAAUCUGGCCUGCAAAAGAUGCACUACCUGAUAAAGGAUCUGGUUUGUGUUUAUGAAAAUACAGGGGAAAAAAAAGAUGCUGUGAAAGUGAAGAACAUAUUGUUAAGAAUGAGAAUUUCCUGGCAGGCAGUCCUUCGAGGUCAUUUUAAUUUUCCAGACAUCUUCAUCAGCUGUUAUAAACCGAUAGCAGUUAUUACUUGGAAAUGGAAAUUAUUGAAAACGUAUAGAGAAAUUCCAAGUUUGUACAGUGAGUCUAUGCAGAAUCCUACAAAUCCUGUGAAACUAAGGUUGGAGACUGCGUUGAUAAGAAGUAGAUGGUGUUCAGUUCUGCUUCUUAAACAGCAAUCUACUUUGAAACUAAAUCGCUGGCCUGUUCACAGAAGAAAAUUCUUUGGUCUCAAGGCUUUUGUAUUCAAUUGGGAGGUUGGACUGUGCUCCAACAAACAGAAUUAUUCAGCAAGUCAUUGCCUUCAAGAAGUAAUGUGUAACACCUUGUUUUGUUCCUUGGUUCAAAAGGCACUGUCACUGUUGUACACCAGUGUUUAA